UGGUUUUACAAUGUCAUGUCCUGCAAUAUCGCGUCAUUUAAAUGCUUUAGCACAAUUCCAUAAAUUAUCGUGUCUAAGCAGAAGCAUGUUGGUUGUAAUCUGAGUGCAAUAUAGGCAGAGUCGCUCGGUCAAUCAAUGAGUAAAAUGAACGGCUCAACUGAGAAAACGAAUCAUUAAACGAAUCGUUCGCGAAUUACACACUACUAGUUUGUCCCAGUACAGGAUCCGUAUACGACUUUUCCCUUCACGUUGUUAUUCUUUGCUGUCGUGUGUUUUUUUUACAUAACUUUAAGCGUUCUAUGAAAUAUGGCUUUUCAGUGUCAGAGGGACUGCUACAUGCAAGAAUUUAUCACUACAGUGGUAUCAUGUUCUCCCGCUGAACUAAAACGCGAGAACGGCGGGAAGAAGGAGAAAAUGAAAGGCUUCAACGUCAUCCUCAAAGACACGAUUCUCUUUCCUGAGGGUGGAGGCCAGCCAGAUGACCGCGGGACGAUCGGGCCCGUGCCUGUCCUGCGGGUGACCAGGCAAGGUUCAGAGGCGGUGCACUUUGUGGAGUCGGCGCUGGAGGUGGGAUCGGAAGCACGGCUGGAAGUGGACUGGGAGCGCAGAUUUGACCACAUGCAGCAGCACUCUGGGCAACACUUAGUUACUGCCUUGGCAGACAGUAUGUUUGGAUACAAGACCACCUCCUGGGAUUUGGGCCGCCAGCGCAGCGUCAUCGAGCUGGACACGGCUGCGGUGAAGCCCGGCGAGAUGGAGGCCCUGGAGGACGCGGUGAACCAGAAGAUCCGCGAACACGUCCCUGUCACCGUGCAGCUGCUGUCCCUGGACGAUCCCGCCGUGGAAAAGGUGAGGAGCCGCGGCCUGCCGGACGACCAUGCAGGACCCGUCCGGAUCAUCGACAUCGAGGGCGUCGACGCCAACAUGUGCUGCGGGACCCAUGUGUCCAACCUCAGCCACCUACAGGUUCUAAAGAUCCUUGGGACUGAAAAAGGAAAGAAAAACAAAACCAACCUGAUUUUCCUUGCGGGAAACCGGGUUCUGAAGUAUGCGGAGAAAAGCUACAGCACGGAGCGAUCGCUGACAUCCUUACUCAAGACUGGAGCAGAUGAUCACGUCGAAGCCGUAGACAAGCUGCAGAAGUCUGUCAAGGUGCUGCAGAAGAACAAUCUCAACCUUUUACGAGACAUGGCUGUGCUAAUUGCGGAGAAUUUCAAGAACAACCCCAAUCGGGGCGACUUGUUCUGUUUACACAGGAAGGACAGUGACAAUGAGUUCAUGAACAUUAUAGCCAAUGAGAUAGGCACUGAGGACACAGUGCUAUUCCUGACUGUUGGAGAUGAGAAGGGGGCGGGGCUGUUCCUGCUGGCAGGGCCAGUGGGUAUUGUGGAUGAGCUGGGACCCAGAUGACAUGCACUGUACUCCAGGAAAGUUGUGCAUCCUCUCCAGCUGAGUCAGGACAUUCAGAUGACCCCAAAAUACUGUGCUCUGGGUUGGAGGAGGGUGCACUGGAGGACAGUGAUGUUGUCAUCACUGGUGUCCAACGGGGGAAGACCUGUGCAGCUUUGCUGAACAGACGGGUGGAGGACUUUGGGGGCCGUAUUUCUCGGCCAGCACACACGGUUGGAUGACAAGGUCAUCGACCACGCCCAGGCUCUUAUGAAGAUGCUGCAUCCAUAUAUAGGAGGGCUCCAUGCAACCACCCUCCCUGCCGUCCACCGUACCUACACCAGCUCAGGGGUUUGUGGAGAUUCUUAAUGUCUCUGCAAAUCGCUGGAUUACGGGAAGAGUGUCCGGCUGCAGUGGCCUGAUGUCCAACAGCAGGCGGGUGGCUCAGACUGUGGACUGUUUGCUAUUGCAACAGUCUCACUCUCUGCAGAGGUGAGGAUCCCUCCGUGCUCCAGAACCAUCAGCCAGCUAUGCAGACUCACAUCUUUGCCUCUUUUCCGGCUGGAAUUCUGAUACCCUUCCCCAGUACUGCAAGGUGCUCCAAAGCCAAGGCAGUUCACGCUAUUGAGGUGAACAUACACUGCCUCUGCAGACGGACCAACCAAAUUGGAAAAGGAUCCUCUGGUCUUCUGCAGGACAUAUGCCUUUUCCUGCCUCAACUUAAAAAACCCAGAUGUAUAUAUAUGUCUGUCAUGCACUGUCAUCUUCCAUGCAUGUUAAUUUUCAUAGUGUUGAGUUCUGUUUUCAUUACAAAUUAAAGUUGUAUUAAAUGUAAAUGGUAAGUAUUAUGACAUCUUUAUAAUGUUUACAUGUGAAUGUAGUUUAUAAUAAAAAUGUCUGAAUUUUAUAUAGUAUAGUAUCAGUAAUAGAAAUGUAAUGUGUAAUGUGUGCAACAUUUCAGUAUUGCAUGUGUGAUUUUAUAAUUUUAUUAUUUAUUAUUAAGAAAAUAUGUUUAAUUUUAUGACAAAUGUGUAAACAAUUUAUGUGUAGCUUUCAAUUGGAAUUAAUUGGAAUUAAUUGGAAAUAGGCCCAUUUGGUUCCUUACUGGCCCUUCGUACCUUCCUCUUAGCAUUCACCAACAAACUAAAUGCCCAAAUCCAAAGUAAAUUUAUUAUAUUAGAUUUUAUAACCGUUAUAUGCAUAGUGGUAAGUAUAAAGUGCUUUUGAAUUUGGCAUUGUUUCCUUAUUAAUGUUGCAGUUCAAGUUGUUGGUGGUACAAGCAAGCCAAAAGUUACAGUAUCAUACUUGCAAAAGUGUCAGCUUGAUCUCCAUGAAUGAAUGAACUUUGGCAGUACCUGUGUUUGACUGCCCUGAUUGUACCUCUUUGAUGCUCCUGAAAGUAGCUGUCUCUGAUUCCCCUUGUAGACUCUGGAAGGAAUUGUGUGCAUGCUUGAUUGAUUUAAGUUGCGAGAGACAGAGUGUGUGUGUGUGUGAAUGUGUGUGCAUGUGUGUGCGCGCGCGUAUACACACUGUGUUUAAUUUAUUAAAUGUGUAAUUUACUGUAUAUUUAGUAAAACUGUAACAGCAUUCAAGGGGACUCACUUCUCUCGGGUUGAUUUGGACUGUUUCAUGACAUCAAGUGACAUCAUGAGUUAUAUCACAGUUAGCCUAGGAUCCUACAUAAGCAGGUUUUAUGCACCCUUUAUAAUGUUUAGCUGUUAGCCAGGUGAUAUUGUUGGUUAUGUCACAUUUGGCAUAAUGUUGUAAAAGAUGUUUUGCCACCCUUUAUGAAGCACAACAUUUGUGUAUGCAUGAAGCCAUUAUGUCAAGUUUAUGAAAGCAUUAUAUAUACUACGUAAAGCUUUUAUUUUAACUUCCUUUAAAGUGUGAGUCACCACUUUUAAGGAAAGUUGUGCUGGUUGCCAAUAAAAUUAGGAAACUGUAGCUGAACUGCACCACUUCUCAGAUUAUCCUGUAAGAUCUGGUCAUGUUGAAGUGAUGAGGAAAUGAUUGAAACAAAUGAUUACAAAGAAGAAAAAGAUGAAAUUGAAGCAGAAUAUUUCAGCAGCAAACUAACAUUCAGAAUAACAAAAACUUUAAUGACACAGUUUAAUACACUUUGAAAAGUCUUCAAAAAUGCAUGGAAUAUAAUUUUUAGUACUUUAUCAGUUUGGUAUUUAUGAGUAUUAAUGUAACAUUUACACACACUCUUAGCUUAUGGACUUGCUUCUGUGAUACAGCCAGAUUGAGAUUAAGGUAACACAGGAACCACAUGAGCCUAAAUUCAAUAAACAUUAGUCCUUAAAUUUGACUAUCAAUUGCAGCAAGGAUUAUAAAGCAGGGAUAUUACUUGUAAAUCAGAGUUGAGGAUAAAUGUUUAUUGAAUUUAAGUCAUAGAGUCACAUACCACUUGUUUACUUGUGGGUACAUGUGGCUUAUGUCUUAAGGACACAGCCUCUGUUUGGAGAGCAUUUAUGAGAUAGUGCUCUCAGUACCUACUUACUCACUUUCUAUUAGCUCAUACUUUCACACAAUGGGCCUCAUUUAUCAAGCAACAUACGAACAAAAUUUCUCGUAAUUCCUUUGUACCAA
Molecule: RNA transcript, 3981 nt
Organism: Anguilla anguilla (European eel)
Lineage: Eukaryota; Metazoa; Chordata; Actinopteri; Anguilliformes; Anguillidae
Gene name: alanyl-tRNA editing protein Aarsd1-like
Exons: 15
Source: RefSeq, a predicted model, not a curated record